This 1781-nucleotide ribosomal RNA is filed under the name uncultured marine eukaryote. RNAcentral describes it as "SSU rRNA". It matches the Rfam family "Eukaryotic small subunit ribosomal RNA". The record is from RNAcentral.
AACCUGGUUGAUCCUGCCAGUAGUCAUACGCUUGUCUUAAUGACUAAGCCAUGCAUGCCUCAGUGUGAAAUUUGCCAUAUUGGAACUGCGAACAGCUCAUUAGAAUGGCUUCAAUUAAAAUGACGGUCAGUCAUGAUAAGGACAUCUGCACCAAUAGUAGAGCUAAUACACGAUUUUGAACUCGAGAAUAUGGAAGGGUUGCACUUAUUAGAUAUAGAAUUAGUCUACUUCAGUUGUUUCAAGGUAAUUCAUAAUUUUCAAGCGAGUCGCUUCAAACGAUGAAGUAUAUAAGUUUCUCACCUAUCAGUUUUCGAUGGUAAGGUAGUGGCUCACCAUGACCGUAACGGGUAGCGGAGAAUUAGGGUUCGAUUCCGGAGAGGGCGCUUGAGAAAUGGCUACCACAUCUAAGGAAGGCAGCAGGCGCGCAAAUUACCCAAUCCCUAAUCAAGGAGGUAGUGAGAAGAAGUAAUGAUAUAUAACAUGUAUGUUCUGUAAUCGGAAUGUGAGGAAAUUAAACCUAUUUUCUAGUAUCGAUUGGAGGGCAAGUCUGGUGCCAGCAGCCGCGGUAAUUCCAGCUCCAACAGUGUAUAUUAAUACUGCUGCGGUUGAAACGUUCGUAGUUGGGAAUUUGUUGUCUAUUAUUGGUCUAUCCUAGUGGUCAGUACUGUAUAUGAAUGCAGCAUUGUCUUGAUUAUUUUUCUACACUUGACUGUGUAUUAUGUUGAAUCAAUCCGUAUACUUUGAAGAAAUGAGAGUGUUUCAAGCAAUUUUAUUCAGGGAUAUAUUAGCAUGGAAUAACACAUUACGACUUCAAUUUGUGUCUAUUGGUUGCCGAGAUGGGGUAAUAAAGAGGAGGAUAAUUGGUGGCAUAUAUAUUGCACAGUCAGAAGUGAAAUUCUUGGAUUUUUGCAAGAUAACCAAUUGCGAAAGCAUUUGUCAAGAGUGUUUUUAUUGAUCAAGAACGAAAGUUAAGGGAUCGAAGACGAUCAGAUACCGUUGUAGUCUUAACCGUAAACUAUGUCGCCUAGAAAUUGGCGGGUAUAUAGUAUCAUCCCGUCAGCAACUUAAGAGAAAUUACAGUUUUUGGAUUCCGGGGGGAGUAUGAUCACAAGAUUGAAACUUAAAGGAAUUGACGGAAAGGCACCACCAGGAGUGGAGCGUGCGGCUUAAUUCGACUCAACACUGGAAAAUUUAUCAGGUCCGAACAUAGAAAUGAUUGACAGAUUGGCUGGCUUUUCUUAAUUCUGUGGGUGGUGGUGCAUGGCCGUUCUUAGUUGGUGGAGUGAUUUGUCUGGUUAAUUUCGAUAACGACCGAGAUCUUGACCUACUAAAUAGAUGCAGGAUGUAUAAACAAUCGUGUGAACUUCUUAGAGGAAACAUUUGUGUAAAGUAAAAGGAAGAUUAAGGUAAUAACAGGUCUGUGAUGCCCUUAGAUGUCUUGAGCUGCACGCGCGCUACACUGAAGCACUUCACAAGGAAUUUAUCUGAUUUGAAAAAAGUGGGAAAUCUUAUCCCUGUGCAUCGUGAUGGGGCUUGUUUAUUGUAAUUAUUGAAUAUUAACGAGGAAUCCCUAGUAAGUGUAUAUCAUCAAUCUGUUCUGAUUAAGUCCCUGCCCUUUGUACACACCGCCCGUCGCUCCUACCGAUCGAGUGAUCCGGUGAACACCUAAGACAUUGAGAAGCAAUCGAAAAAUUACACUCAUAGAAAUGCGAGUGAGUCUUAUCACUUAGAGGAAGGAGAAGUCGUAACAAGGUUUCCGUAGGUGAACCUGCAGAAGGAUC